RNAcentral lists this unclassified non-coding RNA (3188 nucleotides) under Leishmania donovani. Its description in RNAcentral is "gene:LdHU3.33.3930(CDS-product:hypothetical_prote in_conserved)". Lineage: Eukaryota; Euglenozoa; Kinetoplastea; Trypanosomatida; Trypanosomatidae. The record is from RNAcentral.
GAAAAUAAUAAAAGAGGCGAACAACACAAGGGGAACUUCACGCCGAGAACGAAGCGGGAGAUUGCGGUGUGUCGAUGCGGCGGAGGCCUUGCACUUGGGUCUUGUAAUAUUAUUGAAUGAAGGACCGUCUCUCUCCCUCUCUCCUGCCUCUCCACUCCGUAGCCUCUCUCGGCGUAUCUUUCUGUCGAAGUGCACACCGCAGGCACUCGGCCACUUUCUGUUUCGGCAACCCAAGUCUCUCUGCUCGCACGAGUAGCGCAACAAGGAACGGCGCGCGGAAAGCGCUCGCAUCGGUGCCGCUAGGCAAUGUCGGCGUCCAAUGCGCCCCCUCCAUUGGAUGCAAAAGACAUCAUUGGCGACAGCGUGAAACAGGUGAAGUUCGAUCGCCAGCUGCGCCUCUGGGGUGCCGAUGGGCAGGCGGCCCUUGAAGCAUCGCAUGUCGUCGCGCUCGGCGUCACGGUGGCUAUCGCCGAAGCUCUGAAGUCGCUCGUGCUGGCCGGCGUGCGUACCGUCACCCUCGUGGACGAGCGGGUUGUGUCUGGCGAGGACGUGGCAAGCAACUACUUUGUGGCGGCCACGGCGAUCGGCUCUCCUCUGGCGGCGACGGUGCUGCAGCACAUCUGCGGGCUGGGGGAGCAGUGCAGGGCGGUGCCGGUUCAGGAGUGCCCGAGGGAAUGGGUGGCCAAGUACCGGGAAGCUGUAGACGCGGACUGGGCUGCUGGUUACGUAGACAGCGGCCGACUUUGGCCAGUAUCAGCGGCCAGGGAGGCGCCGGCGGUGCCGACCGGGACGACAUCUGCUGUGCAGCGAUUCUUCACCGGUUACGCGUCGAUAGCCAUCUUGAACAACACUUCUUCAUCAUCGCACGUCCCCCCAUGCAACUCCACAAACCCGUCACCCACUGCCGAGGAGCCACUGUCUCUGCCGAGCCUCAUGCUUGUCAGUGAGCGCUACGGCGAUUUCUCGCCAGCGUCGCUGCUGCUGCAGACCUGCGCGAAGCGCGUGCAUCCUGAUGUGCCGGUGCUGUUGGUUCGCAGCAGCGGCUUACUCGGAGUGCUUCAAACCUACUGCUGCGACCGCGUCAUUAUGCGCCCGCAGAACCCGACGCAGAUACAGAUGGAGGAUCUGCGCAUCUUUGAGCCGUUUCCGGCGCUGCAGGCGUGGUUUGACGCUCACGACCCAGAUGACGUUGUGCAGUUUCCUGCGGGCAGCGCGGAUGCCAUGACGCUGCACAGUUACCUGCCGUACCCGUGCAUUGUACACCACGCCUUUCGCAGAUGGUGGGCCACGUUGCCGGAAGAGGAGAAAAGGUCGCGGCAGACGUCGUCAUCCUCCUCAAUCUUUCCGCUGAACGCACAGGACUACCGCGCCAUCGCUUCCGUCGUUGGUGGGAUGAUACGACGUCAGGGCGUGCCCGAGGAGGCCUUCGUGGAGGCCAUGGAGAAGUGCACGGCGAAGCUGAACCGACCGGUGGUGCAGCGGCUGCCAGAGGCGCUCGCGAAACUUCUGCGCGAUGCUCGGUGCGCGGACCCGAUGCGCGCUGUGCAGACGGUGCAGUCACGCCUCUCGCCAGCGGCAUUGAUGUCAUCGUCACCGGCUGUGCGCGAGGUGGCAGCACUGCAUGUGUGGGCGUCCCCCGAUGUGCUUGUGUGGUUCAUCCUGCGCGCAGUGCAGCUGUUUGUGACAGGAGAGGUCGGUGACGAGCUGGAGGUGGGCAACGGGGCAUCCACCAGGCCUGCAGCGGUGCACAAAAGUGAACCGAAGGCGGCGGUGGAGGAGCCGGAGGAAGUUGAGUGCGUGAUCGCCUGCGCGGCGCCGCUGCCGCGCGGUGCCGCGUACGCUGCCUAUCGCAUGCCACACUCCGGCUACCUGCCGGACUUCACGACAACCACCAUCUGGUACCGCGAGCUGCAGGAGCUGUACCAGGGAAAGCACGCUGAAGACGUGGCGUGCAUUGCGGCAAGGGCGAUGGAGCUAGUCGAGGCGGCUCUCCAGCAGGAAGAGGAGAAGGAGCUCGAGAGAAAAGACGAAGAGGAGCAACGGCAGCACCGCGGCCCAUCGAGGACGUCGCUGGUGGCGGCGAAGGUGAAGCCGCUACUUCUCCAGUACACGGCGAUGAUUGUCGCGAACAUUUGGGACAUACGAGGCGUCAGUUUCUCGUCUGCCUAUCGCGCCGCUGCGGAGGCGGAGUGGCGGCAACGGCUGGGUCAGCGGCUCGUGUGGCUGACACGUCACAUCUCAUUUGACAUGGAACGCAACGCCGACGCGCGCCGGGCGGCGUGCUUCGCGGUGGCCUAUCUGUGUAAGGAGGAGCUUCAGCGUCGUGGUGCCCGCGCUGAGGAGAGUGACCUAAGCGGGAGUGCCAUCGCGCAGGAGGCUGCCGUGCUCAUGUCGCAGGCGUCCCAGGAGGAGGCCCCCAUUGGCGGUGACGGUGAAGAGCCAGCUCUUGGGCUCUUCGAUGCGUCGCUCGCUCCGUGGUGGUCCGAAGAGGGCUCGCGAAAGCUUUUUGCUCAGGCGUGCGAGGAGGUUGCGCGGUGGGCCCGUGGCAAGGGCGGUGGCGGCGCUUGCGUGCAGCUUCCCUCCGUAGCCGCGUCGACCGGCGCCUUGGCGGCGCAGGAGGCAGUGAAGUUGCUCAUGCGCAUUCACGUUCCGUGCACCAAUCCGAUGCUCUAUGACGGCUACACGAACAAGGUGUUCAUGCUGUGAUUCUCGUGUGCGUCGUGUGCUUGUGUGCGUUCCUCCCCGCACCCGCCUUCCAUCUUGCUACCCCUUCCGCCCCUCUCCGCUGCAGUUAUGCCUUUCGAGAGCACGAGAGAGCGCGCGCACGCGCGCCACAGAGCUCAGAAUGUGAAGCAUCCCAAGAGAAAUCAUGGAAGCGUGGACUCGCUGGUGAAUGCCUUUCUGUGAAACAGUGACGUACCUCCACGGCCGUCAAGACCUUUUCAGCCUCUCUCCUCCUGUCCCCUCCUCAUCUUCCUCCACGGGCUGUCCUAUGUCAAGAUGAUGGUGGGAGGGCAGGGGCCGUGGCCUUUGGUCAUUAGCCAGCAUUCGAGGGAGGGGUUCACGGUUAUCCACGAAGCACUGGGCAUCGCGCCGCAUGUAGGUGCUCAAACCGUGAUCCGCUCUGUUCCACACCCACUCCCCGCCUCUCCUCUCCCUCCGACUCUUCGGCAUUUUUGUGUUCCCAG